Molecule: ribosomal RNA, 1422 nt
Filed under: Triticum aestivum (bread wheat)
Lineage: Eukaryota; Viridiplantae; Streptophyta; Magnoliopsida; Poales; Poaceae
Description: partial small subunit ribosomal RNA
Source: RNAcentral
AUGGCCGCCGCCGCCGUCGCCGCCGACUCCAAGAUCGACAACCUCCGCGACGCCGUCGCCAAGCUCGGCGAGAUCAGCGAGAACGAGAAGGCCGGCUUCAUCAGCCUCGUCUCGCGCUACCUCAGCGGCGAGGCGGAGCAGAUCGAGUGGAGCAAGAUCCAGACCCCCACCGAUGAGGUGGUGGUGCCCUACGACACCCUCGCGCCCCCUCCCGAAGAUCUCGACGCCAUGAAGGCUCUGCUCGACAAGCUCGUGGUGCUCAAGCUCAACGGAGGCCUCGGCACCACCAUGGGCUGCACCGGCCCCAAGUCCGUCAUUGAAGUUCGCAAUGGGUUUACAUUUCUUGACCUUAUUGUGAUUCAGAUUGAGUCCCUGAACAAGAAGUAUGGAUGCAGUGUUCCUUUGCUUCUAAUGAACUCUUUCAACACUCAUGACGACACACAGAAGAUUGUUGAGAAGUACUCCAACUCCAACAUUGAAAUUCACACUUUCAACCAGAGCCAAUACCCUCGCAUUGUUACUGAAGACUUCUUGCCACUUCCAAGCAAAGGGCAGACAGGGAAGGAUGGCUGGUACCCCCCAGGCCACGGUGAUGUGUUCCCCUCUUUGAACAACAGUGGAAAACUCGAUACCUUACUGUCACAGGGAAAGGAGUAUGUCUUCGUGGCGAACUCAGACAACUUGGGUGCUAUAGUUGACAUCAAGAUACUAAACCACCUGAUCACUAACCAGAAUGAGUACUGCAUGGAAGUUACUCCAAAAACAUUGGCUGAUGUCAAAGGUGGUACCCUCAUCUCAUACGAAGGAAGAGUCCAGCUCUUGGAGAUUGCCCAAGUCCCUGAUGAGCAUGUGAAUGAAUUCAAGUCGAUUGAGAAGUUCAAGAUAUUUAACACCAAUAACCUGUGGGUGAACUUGAAGGCGAUCAAGAGGCUUGUAGAUGCUGAAGCACUUAAGAUGGAAAUCAUUCCCAACCCUAAGGAAGUUGAUGGCGUGAAAGUCCUGCAGCUAGAAACCGCAGCUGGAGCAGCGAUCAGGUUCUUUGAGAAAGCAAUCGGCAUCAACGUUCCCCGCUCAAGGUUUCUGCCCGUGAAGGCUACAUCUGAUUUGUUGCUUGUGCAGUCUGAUCUCUAUACCUUGGUUGAUGGCUACGUCAUCCGCAACCCAGCCAGAGUGAAGCCAUCGAACCCUUCAAUUGAGCUUGGUCCUGAGUUCAAAAAGGUUGCCAACUUCCUUGCCCGUUUCAAGUCGAUCCCCAGCAUCGUUGAGCUCGACAGCUUGAAGGUCUCUGGUGAUGUCUCGUUUGGCUCUGGAGUCGUACUCAAGGGCAACGUGACCAUCGCUGCCAAGGCUGGAGUCAAGUUGGAGAUCCCAGACGGAGCUGUGCUCGAGAACAAGGACAUCAACGGCCCUGAGGAUCUUUGA